CACGUAGGAGGCAAACGUUAUCCGGAUUUACUGGGCGUAAAGCGCGUGUAGGUGGUUCUGUAAGUAGGGCGUGAAAGCUCCCGGCUCAACUGGGAGAGGCCGUUCUAAACUGCAGAGCUAGAGGAUGGUAGAGGGAGGUGGAAUUCCAGGUGUAGCGGUGGAAUGCGCAGAUAUCUGGAGGAACACCAGUGGCGAAGGCGGCCUCCUGGACCAUUCCUGACACUCAGACGCGAAAGCUAGGGCAGCAAACGGGAUUAGAUACCCGGGUAGU
Molecule: ribosomal RNA, 271 nt
Filed under: uncultured prokaryote
Description: partial 16S ribosomal RNA
Rfam family: Bacterial small subunit ribosomal RNA
Source: RNAcentral